UAUUCCUCAAAUCGCUUUAUUUUGAGAGUUAUGUCAUUUUUAAUAGUUUGUUAUGAACGACGAAUAGCAUUGCGCGUUCUUACGAACCGGCGAAUAUAGCUAUUCGACGCAAUUCUGACCGAUGUUUAUUGCAGCGCGGUCUUACGAACCGGCGAAUAUCGUCACACGAUCAAAGUCUAGCUUCUUCUUCUGUUUCUGAAAGAGGCUGACGAUGGAAGGGAGCAGAGAUCGCAGUGCCCAUUCGGACAAGGAUGAGAGUACACAUGCUGUCAGCAUGGCGGACCUAAAAUUCUGGAGGGCAGCAGAUGAAGUGGCCUGACGGCAUAUGGCGAGGCACAUUUGUGAUGAUUGAGAAAGAGCAGGAGCCCAUGGAUGAAGACAGUGACAGUGGGGGGAUGAGCCCCGGUGGUUUCUCAGGCAGAACUUGUGGACUUCUACACAAAUCUCCCCCAUAGCUGAGUAAUCUGAUUGGUAGGCCUAAUGGUCACAUGACUGAUGGCUAAUUGGCACCUUUUUUUGAUUAUUUGUCUUUAUGCUAACAUUUUUAUUUUGUGUUUCAGGAAGCAGGGAUGGUCUACUUUAUUGUGUAAUGAUUGACAUGUAAGUAUAUAAAGAAUUGUUAAUUAGCAUCAACGUUUUAGGUUUGAUGGACCUACUUUAAUAGCCCCUGAGUCUUGAAGUCUUGGACUUUUUAUUACCAAAGAUGU
Long non-coding RNA from Strongylocentrotus purpuratus (purple sea urchin), 707 nucleotides. RefSeq lists it as uncharacterized. The record is from RefSeq and is a predicted model, not a curated record. The transcript has 2 exons. NCBI's taxonomy places the organism in Eukaryota, Metazoa, Echinodermata, Echinoidea, Camarodonta, Strongylocentrotidae.